AAGGAUGGGCCCGCGUUGGAUUAGCUAGUUGGUGUGGUAAUGGCGCACCAAGGCGACGAUCCAUAGCUGGUCUGAGAGGAUGAUCAGCCACACUGGGACUGAGACACGGCCCAGACUCCUACGGGAGGCAGCAGUGGGGAAUCUUGGACAAUGGGGGAAACCCUGAUCCAGCCAUGCCGCGUGAGUGAAGAAGGCCUUAGGGUUGUAAAGCUCUUUUGGCGGGGACGAUAAUGACGGUACCCGCAGAAUAAGCCCCGGCUAACUUCGUGCCAGCAGCCGCGGUAAUACGAAGGGGGCUAGCGUUGUUCGGAAUCACUGGGCGUAAAGCGUACGCAGGCGGAUUGAUAAGUCAGGGGUGAAAUCCCGGGGCUCAACCUCGGAAUUGCCUUUGAUACUGUCUGUCUCGAGUUCGGGAGAGGUUGGCGGAAUUCCUAGUGUAGAGGUGAAAUUCGUAGAUAUUAGGAAGAACACCAGUGGCGA
Molecule: ribosomal RNA, 480 nt
Filed under: uncultured bacterium
Lineage: Bacteria
Description: bacterial SSU rRNA
Rfam family: Bacterial small subunit ribosomal RNA
Source: RNAcentral